Molecule: long non-coding RNA, 1520 nt
Organism: Rhododendron vialii
Lineage: Eukaryota; Viridiplantae; Streptophyta; Magnoliopsida; Ericales; Ericaceae
Exons: 2
Source: RefSeq, a predicted model, not a curated record
CUUCCAGCUUCAAAGCGGCAAUUUUGAAUUUUUUUAGUCCCGAAAAACAUUAUGUACAUGCUCCCCAUCUGAGCGAAAAAGGAAAGGAAACAAAGAAAGCAAGAAAGCUCACCAAGUUGCUCCAAAUUAUUAUUCUCCAAGCUCCCAUCUGCAUUGGGCCCAAAAUUAGCUACCCAUUUGUGACUAUUGGCCCAAGAAUCUCCGAUAGAUUUCAAAGCAUUGUAAAGGGAACAACCUUCGGGUACAACUUGUGGAGAUCAUCUACAGUUCCCACCACCAACUGCCAGUAGAUGCAAAAAACAGAAUUUAGAAGUGCAGUGCAAUUUUAGGCCGGGGAGCCUUAUUUGCUUUGUUGAUACACAAACUAAAGAAUCACCUCGUGGAGGGGGCCGGCAUCAUCACAAGGGGGAAGAUCAAUGGUGUCUCUAAAGGUUAAUAACUUUCUCCUGAGCUCCAUCGAGACCAUAAAUUUUUCUGCCCAUCCACUGGAAUUGUCUUUUAUCGAGUACUCUGCUUCCUUUUCAACCUUUGAUACAUCUUGACUUUUAGUUGCCUGUGACAGUAAUGGCGUUCACAUCAGCGAUGUUAAAUUUGCUACAAGAAAACGGGAAAGGGAUAUUGUAUUGAACAAAUUCAUUUCUAUCUUUGUUCAUUGUCGCGUUUCUUUUGAAAUCAAUGCCUUUGCAACUUCCUUAAGAACAACAGAAGAGGUUGUCCAGGCCGGCCUUCUGCUGUAAAAUUAGUUAUGGGAUAUGGGUGCACCGUGCAACCCAACUAGACAAUUGGACUAUUUAAGUGUUUACGUUGCUUGAAGAAGAAGCCAACAUUUGAUUGUGAAUAAGAAAAUUCUACCCUUGGCAUGGAGGUAAUAUGGAAAUUCCCUUUUUGCCCCAAAGUCAUUUUAUUCGAAAUACCCUCCUGAAUGAUAUUAACAUAUAUUAUGCGUAUGAUAUAGUUAAAUGAUCUCAAGAUAUGUACCCUAGACUAUAGAAUUCCUGGUCUUUAUGUUGUUCAUGACGACAGAAAACAAAUUCAUCUACGAAAACAUUGCUGGUUCUGUAAACUUGUUUUCCUCGUCCAUUUGAUCGAGGAAGAAGGAAGACUUCGAGAUUACUUGACAAAGAUAUAUAAAUUUUUGCAUACCACAUAAACAUAAGAUAACUUCCCAAACUUGCACGAUGUGCACAGGGAUAAAAUCAAACUAAUAUGACAAAAUUCCCCAUUAUGUUUUCUAACUAUUUGUCGUACCUGGGAUUUGCUCAAAAUCUUUUGGAACAUUGAUAGGGAUGAACUACGUAAUCUGGCCGCCAUGUCUGAUGCUUCGUUUGAACCAAUCUUGGAUCUGGGAUAUGAUUUCUCAAUUUUUCUAACCAGUUACCAUGCCAUAGGUGGUAAGCCUCUAAAUCCCACAAACUAGGGGAAUCUAUCGAUCUUAGUAUUGAACCUAAUAGAAAUAUAUUAACCAAAGGUGGCCUUGUGAAAUAAAUGAUCAAGGUGUCUGAUUUUCUAAUUAGAUUUGG